UUAAAUUGAAGAGUUUGAUCAUGGCUCAGAUUGAACGCUGGCGGCAGGCCUAACACAUGCAAGUCGAGCGGUAGC
This 75-nucleotide ribosomal RNA is filed under the name Klebsiella pneumoniae. RNAcentral describes it as "partial 16S ribosomal RNA". It matches the Rfam family "Bacterial small subunit ribosomal RNA", at positions 1 to 73 of the family's 1533-position model. Lineage: Bacteria; Pseudomonadati; Pseudomonadota; Gammaproteobacteria; Enterobacterales; Enterobacteriaceae. The record is from RNAcentral. RNAcentral also lists the same sequence under 3 other names.